Molecule: long non-coding RNA, 538 nt
Filed under: Homo sapiens (human)
Lineage: Eukaryota; Metazoa; Chordata; Mammalia; Primates; Hominidae
Description: HSALNT0019502
Source: RNAcentral
AAAACCUUUACUUUGUUCCUGAUCUUAUGGAGAAAACAUUUAGUCUUUUACCAUUGAUUAAACUAUAGCAGCCACAUCUCCCCUGACUGGUGUUGGAACAACUGAGUCUUCAACACUGGGCUCUGCCAUACUCAACUCUUCAUUUCCAGCAUCUUCAUGUCUUUAAGCAGCACAGUGGCCAAAAGCACAGAAGAUCAUGUAUGGAAGGCCUUUAUGGGACAGGCCUGGGAGUGACAAUCAUUUUGCCCUUUAUAUCCCAAUUUAAAGCACUUAGCUACUGGACCAUACCUUACUGCAAGUUAAGCUGGGAUAUGUGGCUUAACUGAAUGCCUAGGAAAAAGAGAAAUCAGUUGAAUACAUUGCUGGCCUCUCUCAUAGCCAACUAUGAUUUCAUGGUUGAUCUUGAAAAUUGGUUUUCUAAAACUUAAAUUUACAAAUAUACCACUUACAUUUUUUGAGUUUUCUUUGAUUUUAAAAACAGCAUCCUGUAAACAUGAACAUUAAUAGAGUUGAAAUUAAUGUAAUGUUUCCAUUCUUC